RNAcentral lists this ribosomal RNA (406 nucleotides) under uncultured bacterium. RNAcentral describes it as "partial 16S ribosomal RNA". It matches the Rfam family "Bacterial small subunit ribosomal RNA", at positions 29 to 526 of the family's 1533-position model. The record is from RNAcentral.
AUUGAACGCUGGCGGCAGGCCUAACACAUGCAAGUCGAACGAGUGGCGGACGGGUGAGUAAUGUCUGGGAAAAUGCCCGAUGGCGGGGGAUAACUACUGGAAACGGUAGCUAAUACCGCAUACCAUCGGAUGUGCACAGAUGGGAUUAGCUUGUGGGUGGGGUAACGGCUCAACUAGGCGACGAUCCCUACCUGGUCUGAGAGGAUGACCAGCACAGUGGGAAUGGGGACAGGGUCCAGACUCCUACGUGUGGCGGAAGGGGGGAAUGUUGGACAAGGGGGGCAGGCCUGAUGCAGACAGGCCGGGUGUAUGAAGAGGGCCUGCGGGUUGUAAGGUAUUUUCAGCGGGGAGGCGUUACCCGCAUAGAAAGCACCGGCUAACUCCGUGCCAGCAGCCGCGGUAAUUC